This 460-nucleotide ribosomal RNA is filed under the name uncultured bacterium. Its description in RNAcentral is "partial 16S ribosomal RNA". It matches the Rfam family "Bacterial small subunit ribosomal RNA", at positions 338 to 795 of the family's 1533-position model. The record is from RNAcentral.
CCUACGGGGGACAGCAGUGAGGAAUAUUGGUCAAUGGACGAGAGUCUGAACCAGCCAAGUAGCGUGAAGGAUGACUGCCCUAUGGGUUGUAAACUUCUUUUAUAAAGGAAUAAAACGAGGCACGUGUGCCUUUUUGCAUGUACUUUAUGAAUAAGGAUCGGCUAACUCCGUGCCAGCAGCCGCGGUAAUACGGAGGAUCCGAGCGUUAUCCGGAUUUAUUGGGUUUAAAGGGAGCGUAGAUGGGUUGUUAAGUCAGUUGUGAAAGUUUGCGGCUCAACCGUAAAAUUGCAAUUGAUACUGGCAGUCUUGAGUACAGUUGAGGUAGGCGGAAUUCGUGGUGUAGCGGUGAAAUGCUUAGAUAUCACGAAGAACCCCGAUUGCGAAGGCAGCUUACUAAACUGUGACUGACAUUGAUGCUCGAAAGUGUGGGUAGCAAACAGGAGUAGAUACCCGUGUAGUC